GAGGCGGUAGCUCAGUGGUAGAGCACUGGCCUUUUAAGCCAGGGGUCGAGGGUUCGACCCCCUCCCGCCUCACC
RNAcentral lists this transfer RNA (74 nucleotides) under bacterium HR11. Its description in RNAcentral is "tRNA-Lys". It matches the Rfam family "tRNA". Rfam says of the family: Transfer RNA (tRNA) molecules are approximately 80 nucleotides in length. Their secondary structure includes four short double-helical elements and three loops (D, anti-codon, and T loops). The record is from RNAcentral.